GCGGAGUAUAGCAUCAAUGGUAGAUGCGCAGGGUCGCGCCCUGUGUCCUUGGUUCGAUUCCAAGUGCUCCGCU
RNAcentral lists this transfer RNA (73 nucleotides) under Ruminococcus phage phiRg507T2_2. Its description in RNAcentral is "tRNA-Ala". RNAcentral also lists the same sequence under 3 other names. The record is from RNAcentral. Lineage: Duplodnaviria; Heunggongvirae; Uroviricota; Caudoviricetes.